GACGAACGCUGGCGGCGUGCUUAACACAUGCAAGUCGAACGGAAAGGCCCUGCUUUUGUGGGGUGCUCGAGUGGCGAACAGGUGAGUAACACGUGAGUAACCUGCCCUUGACAUUGGGAUAACUUCAGGAAACUGGGGCUCAUACCGGAUAGGAGCUCCUGCUGCAUGGUGGGGGUUGGAAAAUUUCGGCUGUUGGGGAUGGAAUAGCGGCUUAUCAGCUUGUUGGUGGGGUAGUGGCUUACGAAGGGUUUGACGGGUAGCCGGCCUGAGAGGGGGAACGGCGACAUUGGGACUACGAGACGGCGCAGACUCCAACGGGAGGCAGCAGUGGGGAGUAUUGCACAGCGGGGGGAAGCCUGUGGCGGAAACGCUGGGUGCGGGAUGACCGGCUUCGGGGGGUAAACCGCUUUGGCAGGUGACAAAGCGGGAGUGACGGUAAUGGGUAAAGAAGCACCGGCUAACUACGUG
Molecule: ribosomal RNA, 468 nt
Filed under: uncultured bacterium
Lineage: Bacteria
Description: partial 16S ribosomal RNA
Rfam family: Bacterial small subunit ribosomal RNA
Source: RNAcentral